AUACGUAGGGGGCGAGCGUUGUCCGGAAUGAUUGGGCGUAAAGGGCGCGUAGGCGGCGCGGUAAGUCUGGAGUGAAAGUCCUGCUUUCAAGGUGGGAAUUGCCUUGGAUACUGCCGCGCUUGAGUGCAGGAGAGGUUAUCGGAAUUCCCGGUGUAGCGGUGAAAUGCGUAGAGAUCGGGAGGAACACCAGUGGCGAAGGCGGGUAACUGGACUGCAACUGACGCUGAGGCGCGAAAGUGUGGGGAGCAAACAGGAUUAGAUACCCUGGUAGUCCACACUGUAAACGAUGAAUGCUAGGUGUAAGAGGUAUCGACCCCUUUUGUGCCGGAGUCAACACAAUAAGCAUUCCGCCUGGGGAGUACGGCCGCAAGGUUGAAACUCAAAUGAAUUGACGGGG
RNAcentral lists this ribosomal RNA (397 nucleotides) under uncultured bacterium. RNAcentral's name for it is "partial 16S ribosomal RNA". It matches the Rfam family "Bacterial small subunit ribosomal RNA", at positions 523 to 918 of the family's 1533-position model. The record is from RNAcentral.